GUGCAAUUGCACCGUCUGGGGAUGAGCCUGCGGUCCAUUAGUUAGUUGGCGGGGUAACGGCCCACCAAGACGACGAUGGAUAGCCGGCCUGAGAGGGUGUACGGCCACACUGGAACUGAGACACGGUCCAGACUCCUACGGGAGGCAGCAGCUAAGAAUCUUCCGCAAUGGGGGAAACCCUGACGGAGCGACGCCGCGUGGAUGAUGAAGGCCGUAAGGUUGUAAAAUCCUUUUGUCGGUGAAGAAUAAAUCAAGGAGUGGAAAGCCUUGGUGAUGACGUUAGCCGACGAAUAAGCCCCGGCUAAUUACGUGCCAGCAGCCGCGGUAAUACGUAUGGGGCAAGCGUUGUUCGGAUUUAUUGGGCGUAAAGGGCGUGUAGGCGGCUCACCAAGUCUGGUGUGAAAUCGCAGGGCUCAACCCUGCAUAUGCGCUGGAAACUGGUGGGCUGGAGUUCUUGAGGGGAAGCUGGAAUUCCAGGUGUAGGGGUGAAAUCUGUAGAUAUCUGGAAGAACACCGGUGGCGAAGGCGAGCUUCUAUCAGAGGACUGACGCUGAGGCGCGAAAGCGUGGGGAGCAAACAGGAUUAGAUACCCUGGUAGUCCACGCUGUAAACGAUGUGCACUAGGCGUGGGGCCCGUACGGGUUCUGUGCCGUAGUUAACGUGUUAAGUGCACCGCCUGGGGAGUAUGCUCGCAAGGGUGAAACUCAAAGGAAUUGACGGGGGCCCGCACAAGCGGUGGAGCAUGUGGUUUAAUUCGAUCGUACACGAGGAACCUUACCAGGGCUUGACAUGUGCGUGAAUGUUCACGAGAGUGGGCAGCCCCGCAAGGGGCGCGCACACAGGUGCUGCAUGGCUGUCGUCAGCUCGUGUCGUGAGAUGUUGGGUUAAGUCCCGCAACGAGCGCAACCCUUACUGUCUGUUGCCAACGGGUUAAGCCGGGCACUCGGACGGAACUGCCGGUGACAAACCGGAGGAAGGUGGGGAUGACGUCAAGUCAUCAUGGCCCUUAUGUCCUGGGCUACACACGUGCUACAAUGGUCGGUACAAAGCGAAGCGAAACGGCGACGUGAAGCAAAUCGCAGAAAGCCGAUCUCAGUGCGGAUUGGAGUCUGAAACCCGACUCCAUGAAGUUGGAAUCGCUAGUAAUCGCGCAUCAGCAUGGCGCGGUGAAUACGUUCCCGGGCCUUGUACACACCGCCCGUC
This 1203-nucleotide ribosomal RNA is filed under the name metagenome. RNAcentral describes it as "bacterial SSU rRNA". It matches the Rfam family "Bacterial small subunit ribosomal RNA", at positions 207 to 1398 of the family's 1533-position model. The record is from RNAcentral.